This 253-nucleotide ribosomal RNA is filed under the name uncultured bacterium. RNAcentral's name for it is "partial 16S ribosomal RNA". It matches the Rfam family "Bacterial small subunit ribosomal RNA", at positions 524 to 776 of the family's 1533-position model. The record is from RNAcentral.
GACAGAGGGUGCAAACGUUGUUCGGAAUUACUGGGCGUAAAGCGUGUGUAGGCGGCCGCGUAAGUCGGAUGUGAAAGCCCUGGGCUCAACCCAGGAAGUGCACUCGAUACUGCGUGGCUCGAGUACUGGAGAGGUUGGUGGAAUUCUCGGUGUAGAGGUGAAAUUCGUAGAUAUCGAGAGGAACACCGGUGGCGAAGGCGGCCAACUGGACAGAUACUGACGCUGAGACACGAAAGCGUGGGGAGCAAACAGG